GUUAGGAAUUUUGGGCAAUGGGCGAAAGCCUGACCCAGCAACGCCGCGUGGGUGAUGAAGGCCUUCGGGUCGUAAAGCCCUUUUUCAGGGGAAGAUGAUGACGGUACCCUGAGAAUAAGCCCCGGCUAACUACGUGCCAGCAGCCGCGGUAAUACGUAGGGGGCAAGCGUUGUCCGGAUUUAUUGGGCGUAAAGCGCGCGUAGGCGGCGCGGUAUGUCGUGCGUGAAAUCUCCCGGCUUAACUGGGAGGGGCCGUGCGAAACUGCCGGGCUUGAGGUCGGAAGGGGAAAGUGGAAUUCCGGGUGUAGUGGUGGAAUACGUAGAUAUCCGGAGGAACACCAGCGGCGAAGGCGGCUUUCUGGUCCGAUACUGACGCUGAGGUGCGAAAGCGUGGGGAGCGAUCCGGAUUAGAUACCCGUGUAGUCC
This 425-nucleotide ribosomal RNA is filed under the name uncultured bacterium. Its description in RNAcentral is "bacterial SSU rRNA". It matches the Rfam family "Bacterial small subunit ribosomal RNA", at positions 354 to 796 of the family's 1533-position model. The record is from RNAcentral.